RNAcentral lists this ribosomal RNA (2283 nucleotides) under human gut metagenome. Its description in RNAcentral is "bacterial LSU rRNA". It matches the Rfam family "Bacterial large subunit ribosomal RNA", at positions 3 to 2297 of the family's 2925-position model. The record is from RNAcentral.
UCAAGUAAGUAAGGGCGUACGGCGGAUGCCUUGGCCAUAUCAGCCGAAGAAGGACGCGAUAAGCUGCGAUAAGCUGCGGUGAGGUGCAAGUAACCUUUGACCCGCAGAUCUCCGAAUGGGGAAACCCGGCAGCAGUAGUGCUGUCAUCCUCUAUGAGGAAGGGCACCCGGUGAACUGAAACAUCUAAGUAGCCGGAGGAAAAGGAAUCAACAGAGAUACCCCUAGUAGCGGCGAGCGAACGGGGCAGAGCCCAAACCGGGAUGGGAAACCAAUCCGGGGUUGUGGACUGCUAUCAAAUGCAUGAGUGAAGCAGAAUGAGCUGGGAAGCUCAGCCAGAGAGAGUGAGAGCCUCGUAGGCGUAAGCAAGUGCAUGGAGCAGGAUCCGGAGUACCACGGGACACGAGAAACCCUGUGGGAAGCUGGGGGGACCACCCUCCAAGGCGAAACACUGAUAUGGACCGAUAGCGCAUAGUACCGUGAGGGAAAGGUGAAAAGAACCCCGGGAGGGGAAUGAAAGAGAACCUGAAACCGUAUGUCUACAAGCAGUCGAAGCACUUUUUAGGUGCGACGGCGUGCCUAUUGAAGAAUGAACCGGCGAGUUACUUCAGCUAGCGAGGUUAAGCAGGAAAUGCGGAGCCGCAGCGAAAGCGAGUCUGAACAGGGCGUAUAGUUAGUUGGAGUAGACCCGAAACCACAGUGAUCUACCCAUGUCCAGGUUGAAGCACAGGUAAAAAUGUGUGGAGGACCGAACCAGUGAGCGUUGAAAAGCUUUUGGAUGAGAUGUGGGUAGGGGUGAAAUGCCAAUCGAACGUGGAGAUAGCUGGUUCUCCCCGAAAUAGCUUUAGGGCUAGCCUCAUGGCGAGAGUACAGGCGGUAGAGCACUGAACGGGGUAGGGGCCUAUCCGGCUACUGAACCUAAUCAAACUGCGAAUGGCUGUACUUAUCCAUGGGAGUCAGACUGUGAGUAAUAAGGCCCAUAGUCAAGAGGGAAACAGCCCAGACCAACAGCUAAGGUCCCCAAUGCCGUACUAAGUGGCGAAGGAUGUGGAAUUUCGAAAACAACCAGGAUGUUGGCUCAGAAGCAGCCACCAUUAAAAGAGUGCGUAAUAGCUCACUGGUCGAGAGACUCUGCGCCGAAGAUGUCCGGGGCUAAAGUACGGAACCGAAGCUUUGGCAAUUAACAUAAGUUAAUUGGGUAGGGGAGCGUUCCUGCAUGGGAGAAGCCUGACCGGAAGGACAGGUGGACAGGCAGGAAGAGAGAAUGCCGGUAUGAGUAGCGAAAAGAAGGGUGAGAAUCCCUUCCACCGAAAGCCUAAGGGUUCCUGGGCAACGAUCGUCGUCCCAGGGUAAGUCGGGACCUAAUCCGAGGCGGAGACGCGUAGGAGAUGGACAACAGGUUGAAAUUCCUGUACUGGCUGAGGCCGUUUGAGCGAAGGAGUGACACAGGAAGGAAGGCGCGCGUGCGAAUGGAAGAGCACGUCCAAGCAGGUAGGUCGGGAGACAGGCAAAUCCGUUUCCCAUAAGGCCGAGAUGCGAUGGGGAGCUUCUGGAGACAGAAGCGAAGGGGCUGGCACUAAACUGUCGAGAAAAGCUUCUAGUGAGGACUCAGGCACCCGUACCGAAACCGACACAGGUAGGCAGGAUGAGAAUUCUAAGGUGCGCGGGAAAACCCUCGUUAAGGAACUCGGCAAAAUAUAUCCGUAACUUCGGGAAAAGGAUAACCCAGCGUACGUGAAGUGCAGAAACGCAUGGAGCGGAGAUGGGUGGCAGAAGAGAGGCCCAAGCGACUGUUUACCACAAACACAGGCGUCUGCUAAAGCGAAAGCUGAUGUAUAGAUGCUGACACCUGCCCGGUGCUGGAAGGUUAAGAGGAAGUGUUAGCGCAAGCGAAGCAGUGAAUUGAAGCCCCAGUAAACGGCGGCCGUAACUAUAACGGUCCUAAGGUAGCGAAAUUCCUUGUCGGGUAAGUUCCGACCCGCACGAAAGGUGUAACGAUUUGGGCACUGUCUCAACGAGGGACCCGGUGAAAUUGAAGUACCUGUGAAGAUGCAGGUUACCCGCGACUGGACAGAAAGACCCCAUGGAGCUUUACUGUAACCUGAGAUUGGAUUCCGGUAAGAGAUGUACAGGAUAGUUGGGAGGCUGAGAAGUGAGUACGCCAGUAUUCACGGAGCCGCUGGUGGGAUACCAACCUUGUUUUAUUGGAAUUCUAACGAGAAGCGUAACGAGCUUGCGGACAGUCUCAGGCGGGCAGUUUGACUGGGGCGGUCGCCUCCGAAAGAG